GAUGAAGAACGCAGCGAAAUGCGAUAAGUAAUGUGAAUUGCAGAAUUCAGUGAAUCAUCGAAUCUUUGAACGCACAUUGCGCCCCUUGGUAUUCCGAGGGGCAUGCCUGUUCGAGCGUCAUAUUAACCACUCCCGCUUGCGGGGUCUUGGGCUUCGCCUCCGGGCGGGCCUUAAAAUCAGUGGCGGUACCGUCGGGCUCUACGCGUAGUAAAUUUUCUCGCGAUAGGGUCCCGGUGGAUGCUUGCCAACAACCCCCAACUUCUUAAGGUUGACCUCGGAUCAGGUAGGGAUACCCGCUGAACUUAAGCAUAUCAAUAAGCGGAGGA
This 326-nucleotide unclassified non-coding RNA is filed under the name soil metagenome. Its description in RNAcentral is "partial contains 5.8S ribosomal RNA, internal transcribed spacer 2, and large subunit ribosomal RNA". The stretch from base 1 to 120 matches the Rfam family "5.8S ribosomal RNA", at positions 35 to 154 of the family's 154-position model. The record is from RNAcentral.